AGGGUUGUGGCUCAGCAGUAGAGCGCUAGCCUAGCAUGCAUGAGGCCCUGGGUUCAAUUCUCAGCAACACAU
RNAcentral lists this transfer RNA (72 nucleotides) under Ictidomys tridecemlineatus (thirteen-lined ground squirrel). Its description in RNAcentral is "Spermophilus tridecemlineatus (thirteen-lined ground squirrel) tRNA". It matches the Rfam family "tRNA". Rfam says of the family: Transfer RNA (tRNA) molecules are approximately 80 nucleotides in length. Their secondary structure includes four short double-helical elements and three loops (D, anti-codon, and T loops). Further hydrogen bonds mediate the characteristic L-shaped molecular structure. tRNAs have two regions of fundamental functional importance: the anti-codon, which is responsible for specific mRNA codon recognition, and the 3' end, to which the tRNAs corresponding amino acid is attached (by aminoacyl-tRNA synthetases). tRNAs cope with the degeneracy of the genetic code in two manners: having more than one tRNA (with a specific anti-codon) for a particular amino acid; and 'wobble' base-pairing, i.e. permitting non-standard base-pairing at the 3rd anti-codon position. The record is from Rfam by way of RNAcentral. Lineage: Eukaryota; Metazoa; Chordata; Mammalia; Rodentia; Sciuridae.